CUCCCCCCCCCACCCAAGGUUGUAAUUAUAAAUCUGUCCCCUUUCUCCCCCGUAAAAAAGGGAGGCGGGCACAAAGAACAUUCCUGCCAAAUCUGUCUCUUUUCUAAAGGACGGCAAGCUUCCAAAUGCCAACGAGGGAAAAACAGCUGAGAGGCUGAAUGCCUUGUAAAUAAAUAAGCCCACCCUAACCCCUCUGUUUACUUUGCGGACCAGAUGCGGCACGUGAAGCUUCCCUCACCUGUCAUCUUCGAAUAAAAUGCAUACAAGGAAGACAUAGAUAGGGAAAAACAACCCCGUGGGGGCGGGGCGAGCGGGUGAGGGGACAGCUGAAGCGUGGAAUCUGCUUUUGAUUUAAGAAAGGGACUAAAUCUCUUAUCCUGGGCAGCCCACAGUCUGUCCUCUCCCACCUCACGUUGCAGACCGAUUAAGGCUACAAACAGUAAACUGCUGGCACUUGGCAGUUUGGAGACCUCUUGUUCCAAUUCUCCUUGAAAUACAGUUCUUUGGCUGGCGGAAUAGGCACUGGAGAAGUUUCCGUCAAGAAGCAAUGGAAAGUGCACCCAAUGCUGCACAUGGUCUGAUGAACCUCAGGAUAACAAAAGAAAAUGCAUCUAAGAGAAACAAUAUAGUAUGCCCCGAAGAGACAGUCCACUGUAAGAACUUGUUUUUCUGCCUGAGGAUAUGCCUGUAUAACUUUUCCCCGGGAAAUAAACAGUGAGAAACCUUAAAAUUAGCGAUGUAGUGAAAGUAUAACUUCUAACUGCCUCAUAAAUUGCAACUAAUAAUAUAGCCAGAUAACCUAGUUGUCUGUAAAAGGGCUUUAACCUAAUGGCAAUGCUUAUUACAUUAGCUAAUAGCUAGGUUUUAAUUUUUUUUCAGGCCCAGUUGGUUUCUCUGGCAUGCCAACCCCAUACCUUUAUUCCCGUGUGUGUGUGUAAGUACCUGUGUUCCCUUUAAGAUUCCACCUUUACCUGCCAUGCCAAAUUUCAAAGAGAGAACAAUCGUCUUGGUAAGACGCUGGAGGAAGAAGCUGGACAUUCCUUGCAGCAUUUUGUCAGGGGGGAGAGUUAAAAAGAAAAUACUCACCUUGCUACAUGUGUAUAUUCUUCGGCCCAUAUAAAAUUUUGAUGCAGUACUUGGAGGGAUUGGUUUCAAUGCAUUAUAUGCUCGACUAUGGGAAUUGAAUAAUAAAAUCUAUCUCUAUCUCUGGAGCAGAGCUUAAAUAUAGAUAUUGCAUCUCCUUUCCCCUUCGUAUUGGUUUAAGAAAGCACCACCUUCUCCCUUCAGGUCUUUUCAGCCUUCGUCGUCUUGUUUGUAGCUUGCACUGCAGCAAGUAGAAAUGUUAGAAAAAUAAGGCCUACACUCAGGAGAAAUGAAAAGGCAGUCAGGGAAAAAAAGAGAGAGAGAUUGUAGAACGUAUAGCAGAAGCUUCAUCUCUGAGGUAAAGCAACAUUUAACAAUUGAUGUUAAGGAGGAAAAUGAUGGGGUUCUUUUGUUUCGCAGAAGAUCCACACAAAAGCCAAUAUGGUUGGAGGCUAAAAGGACCCCAAGAGGCUGCACAGGAUGCUAUAUUCACAUGAAGCUUUUCCUUUUGGACUUUGAUGAGUCAUAAUGUGUUCUCUGAACUUGCUUUUCUCUUUCUAGUUUGGCAUCAAGAGAUAGAAGUCGCUUUUUCAUGUCUGUCUGGCCACAUUCACUUGUUAUGUAAGUCGGCUCUGGUUGAUGUUCUGUUUAGAGUAGAUAUUGGGUUUGAAAAUUGAUAUCUAGUUAUAACACCCUCAUAAAGAAAGAUGCCGUGCACAAAGUUAGGAAGCUUGUGAUCCCACCAGGCAAACUGGUACUGCUGGCUGAAAUGUUGCCUGGCUCAAACGGGAGCAAGUCAGACCCUUGGGGAAUGAGUACAUUCAUCUACAGUAACGGAACCCAAACGUGGACAAAGUGAAUCAGCCGACAAUUGACUUUAGCGAAGAGUUUAGAAUUAGUAAGUAAAUUUACUAUGGAGGUAAACACUCCUUGCUCUUCUUCCCACCCAAUAGUCUCAAGAGAUUUUGUUUCACCAGUCAUUCCUCCAAAAUACCACCCAGUUCUCUUUGUGAUGGUAUCACCUUCUAGCUUGAGAGCCUUUGUCUACUUCCAAUCCAUUCCAUGAUGAAUUUCAGCAGUAGCAUGUCUUCCAAGGCUAGGCAAGGACAGAUUUCUGCCAGCCUUGUUGACUUCCUCACAUCACUUAGCUCCAGAGACCUGGCCUACCUACUGGUUCCUAGGGGGCCAUAUUGGAAAUACUUCCCUCUGACCAAAAUGCACGUUCCCAGUCCACGUCCUCCAAGACUCAGCUGUGGCGCAGCAUCCUUCCAGUGGCCCUCCUUGCCCUCCCCAGGCAAAGGAAGCUGCUUAUCCUACUCUGCUCCCAUAGCAACCAGUGUGUACCUCCAUUACAGCACUUAUCACUUUGAUGCGAUUAUUUGUUUGGUAUCCUCCACUAGAUGGUUAGUGCCUGGAGGGGGUAGAGCAAGUUCAAUUCAUCUUUGAAACCUCAGCACUUAGCCGGAUGUCUAGUACAGUACAUUGUAUGUUGUUUAACAAAAAAAAAAAAAAAAAAAAAAAAAAAAAAACCCACAACUUUGUUGAAUGACAGGAUGAGAUAUAUAUAUUAAAAUUAUCCGAUAGGAUUUAACCAGACUUCCCAAUUCAUAAUUCUCAUGUCAAUGAACAAGAUUACUAAGUGUUCAGAAUCUGUUGUUUUCCAAGCUGAAAAGGCUAAUAUGUUUUUGUUUUGUUUGUUUUGUUUUGUUUUGGGGGGUGUAAAGUGGGAGGUGAGAAGCUUCAUCUCUUGCAGUCAUAUAAAGAGCACUGAGAGGAGGUUUUGUUUGGUUUUUAAAUUAGGCUAGGAAUAACAUGAGUGUACACUUGGCAACUGUGUGAUCAGCAAUAAUCAUUAUAAUAGCAUCUCCUUGUAUUCCUCCUUCAAAUCACAUGCCACUGUUUGUACACAGACCAUUACUUAUGCCAUGUAUCCACGUGACCCUAUUAGUUAUGUGACAUUAUCCCCAUUUUACAGAUGAAGAAACUGAGAGGCAGUAAAUAAUUUGCCUAAGACAGGGGUCUCCAAAGUGGAGUGAGCAAAGGGAAUUCGCUGUGACUUGGGAAGAACAUUAGAAAUUCUAUUUCUUUCUCCUUUAAUGAUUAAAAAAAUAUGUAAUGACCCGAAAGAGAAGAGCUGUACAAAUGUUUAUGAUAUUCAUUUACCCUAGCACCUUUACAUGGUGCCAAGUAAAGUGGUCACUGCAAAGUAUUGUAUCUGAGGAGUACUUAGGGAAGAGCCACAGAUGGCAGGAUGACUGUGGCACCCCUCUGGUUCUUUCACUUUCAGGGUGUCUACGCUGCCUGAAGCUUACACCUUCCACAAAGUGUCUCCUCUGGUUUUCACCAAUUAACUCUCUUAUUUGGAAAACAAAUGGCUUAAAAGAUUCCUUCGAAAAAAAUCAAAGGUUGAGAUAAAUCCAAUAAUGCACUCACAGGUGAAAAUAAAGAUCAAAUCUGCCCCUUUAAGUUCUAAGAGUUUUUUGUCAGCCACACUGAGAAGCAAAAACAAUGACAGUCUAAUUGGAUCUGACGAGAAAUAGGUCAAAAACAUUCACAAUUAUUCAAGACUCUUUGCAGUUUGGAUUUAUAUGCACUAUCACUAAUGAUGAAUUCUGAUCUGAGCAUAUAUUUUGCCGUGAGAUAUUAGCUAUUGAUAGAGUAUGAUAUCAUCAUGAUUAGCAAGAUAUUUUAUUCUCUCAUCUUCAUCUCACUCUAACUUCUAUUUUGUGUAUGUUUAUGGUGCACUUGAUAUAUUAAUGCUGAAUACAUGUAUUACGA
This is a long non-coding RNA of Canis lupus familiaris (dog), 3861 nucleotides long. RefSeq lists it as uncharacterized. The record is from RefSeq and is a predicted model, not a curated record. The transcript is spliced from 3 exons. Lineage: Eukaryota; Metazoa; Chordata; Mammalia; Carnivora; Canidae.